CAUUUUCACUUCUUUUGCGGUGGAAUGUCAUCAGUUAAGGCAAGGACCAGCCAUUGACACUUCCUUUGUGGUGGAAUGUCAUCAGUUAAGGCGGGGCAGGACAUUUUCACUUCUUUUGUGAUUCUUCAGUUACUUCAGGCCAUCUGGGCGUAUACCUCGCGUCAGGUGCUCCCCUAGAAUUCCUGGCUGCAGGGAGUCCUGUGGGAAGACGGAGAACACCACCGCAGGCUUUCCACACAGGGGUCUGGAUUUGUCUGUGAAAUUCAGGAGCUCAUUUUGGCAGGCUGUAUAGGAAGCGUGGUGCUGGCAUCUGCUUCUGGUGAGGUUCUCAGGGAGCUUACAAUCCAGGCAGAAGGUGAAGGGGAAGCAGGCACAUCAGUGGCAAGAGAGGGAGCAAGGUGGAGGAAGUGCUGCACUCUUUUAAACAAUCAGAUCUCGCAUGAACUGAAAACUCAGUCUUCA
RNAcentral lists this long non-coding RNA (462 nucleotides) under Homo sapiens (human). RNAcentral's name for it is "non-protein coding lnc-MAP1LC3C-1:1". The record is from RNAcentral. Lineage: Eukaryota; Metazoa; Chordata; Mammalia; Primates; Hominidae.